Vulpes vulpes (red fox) is the source of this 100-nucleotide small nuclear RNA. The record is from Ensembl. Lineage: Eukaryota; Metazoa; Chordata; Mammalia; Carnivora; Canidae.
GUGCUUGUAUUGGCAGCACAUGCACUAAAAUUGAACCAAUAUGGGGAAGAUUAGCAAGUGCAAGAGUGACAUGCAAACUCAUGAAGCAUUCCCUGUUUUU